Molecule: ribosomal RNA, 253 nt
Filed under: uncultured bacterium
Lineage: Bacteria
Description: partial 16S ribosomal RNA
Rfam family: Bacterial small subunit ribosomal RNA
Source: RNAcentral
UACGUAGGUGGCAAGCGUUGUCCGGAAUUAUUGGGCGUAAAGCGCGCGCAGGUGGUUCCUUAAGUCUGAUGUGAAAGCCCACGGCUCAACCGUGGAGGGUCAUUGGAAACUGGGGAACUUGAGUGCAGAAGAGGAAAGUGGAAUUCCAAGUGUAGCGGUGAAAUGCGUAGAUAUCUGGAGGAAUACCGGUGGCGAAGGCGGCAUCCUGGACCGGUAUUGACGCUGAGGCGCGAAAGCCAGGGGAGCAAACGGG